GAUGAAGGAACGCAGCGAAAUGCGAUAAGUAGUGUGAAUUGCAGAAUUCAGUGAAUCAUCGAAUCUUUGAACGCACAUUGCGCCCUUUGGUAUUCCAAAGGGCAUGCCUGUUCGAGCGUCAUUUGUACCCUCAAGCUUUGCUUGGUGUUGGGCGUCUUGUCUCCAGUUCGCUGGAGACUCGCCUUAAAGUAAUUGGCAGCCGGCCUACUGGUUUCGGAGCGCAGCACAAGUCGCGCUCUCUUCCAGCCAAGGUCAGCAUCCACAAAGCCUUUUUUCAACUUUUGACCUCGGAUCAGGUAGGGAUACCCGCUGAACUUAAGCAUAUCAAUAAGCGGAGGA
Molecule: unclassified non-coding RNA, 339 nt
Filed under: soil metagenome
Description: partial contains 5.8S ribosomal RNA, internal transcribed spacer 2, and large subunit ribosomal RNA
Rfam family: 5.8S ribosomal RNA (bases 1-121)
Source: RNAcentral